CAGCAGCCACGGUAAUACGUAGGUGGCAAGCGUUGUCCGAAUUAUUGGGCGUAAAGGGCUCGCAGGCGGUUUCUUAAGUCUGAUGUGAAAGCCCCCGGCUCAACCGGGGAGGGUCAUUGGAAACUGGGAAACUUGAGUGCAGAAGAGGAGAGUGGAAUUCCACGUGUAGCGGUGAAAUGCGUAGAGAUGUGGAGGAACACCAGUGGCGAAGGCGACUCUCUGGUCUGUAACUGACGCUGAGGAGCGAAAGCGUGGGGAGCGAACAGGAUUAGAUACCCCCGUAGUCCCUGUCUCUUAUACA
Molecule: ribosomal RNA, 301 nt
Filed under: uncultured bacterium
Lineage: Bacteria
Description: partial 16S ribosomal RNA
Rfam family: Bacterial small subunit ribosomal RNA
Source: RNAcentral